GACGAACGCUGGCGGCGUGCUUAACACAUGCAAGUCGAACGGAAAGGCCCUGCUUUUGUGGGGUGCUCGAGUGGCGAACGGGUGAGUAACACGUGAGUAACCUGCCCUUGACUUUGGGAUAACUUCAGGAAACUGGGGCUAAUACCGGAUAGGAGCUCCUGCUGCAUGGUGGGGGUUGGAAAGUUUCGGCGGUUGGGGAUGGACUCGCGGCUUAUCAGCUUGUUGGUGGGGUAGUGGCUUACCAAGGCUUUGACGGGUAGCCGGCCUGAGAGGGUGACCGGCCACAUUGGGACUGAGAUACGGCCCAGACUCCUACGGGAGGCAGCAGUGGGGAAUAUUGCACAAUGGGCGGAAGCCUGAUGCAGCAACGCCGCGUGCGGGAUGACGGCCUUCGGGUUGUAAACCGCUUUCGCCUGUGACGAAGCGUGAGUGACGGUAAUGGGUAAAGAGGCACCGGCUGACUACGUG
Molecule: ribosomal RNA, 468 nt
Filed under: uncultured bacterium
Lineage: Bacteria
Description: partial 16S ribosomal RNA
Rfam family: Bacterial small subunit ribosomal RNA
Source: RNAcentral